RNAcentral lists this ribosomal RNA (224 nucleotides) under uncultured bacterium. RNAcentral describes it as "partial 16S ribosomal RNA". It matches the Rfam family "Bacterial small subunit ribosomal RNA", at positions 524 to 747 of the family's 1533-position model. The record is from RNAcentral.
UACGGAGGGUGCGAGCGUUAUCCGGAAUUAUUGGGCGUAAAGAGCUCGUAGGCGGUUUGUCGCGUCUGCUGUGAAAACUGGAGGCUCAACCUCCAGCCUGCAGUGGGUACGGGCAGACUAGAGUGCGGUAGGGGAGACUGGAAUUCCUGGUGUAGCGGUGGAAUGCGCAGAUAUCAGGAGGAACACCAAUGGCGAAGGCAGAUCUCUGGGCCGUAACUGACGCU